AUACGGAGGAUGCGAGCGUUAUCCGGAUUUAUUGGGCGUAAAGGGUGCGUAGGCGGUAAAUUAAGUCUAAGGUUAAAGUGCAGGGCUCAACCCCAUAAAGCCUUGGAAACUGAUUGACUAGAGUACGGGAGAAGUGAAGGGAACUCCAUGUGUAGCGGUGAAAUGCGUAGAUAUAUGGAAGAACACCAGUGGCGAAGGCGCUUCACUAGCCCGAAACUGACGCUCAGUCACGAAAGCGUGGGUAGCAAAUAGGAUUAGAUACCCUAGUAGUCCACGCUGUAAACGAUGACAACUAAAUAUUGCCGCGAGGCAGUGUUGAAGCUAACGCAUUAAGUUGUCCGCCUGGGGAGUACGGUCGCAAGACUGAAACUUAAAGGAAUUGACGGGG
This 388-nucleotide ribosomal RNA is filed under the name uncultured bacterium. RNAcentral describes it as "partial 16S ribosomal RNA". It matches the Rfam family "Bacterial small subunit ribosomal RNA", at positions 523 to 918 of the family's 1533-position model. The record is from RNAcentral.